AAGCAACUGAGCAAGGCCAGGGAUGGAAUUUGCAACCUUAUGGUUACUAGUUGGGUUUUUUACUGCUCAGCCAGGAGAGGAACUCCUAAACCCUUCGGUACUUCUGCUUUUGUAUUCAGUUCUCAGGGUCCUCCACUCAGGCAGUGCUUGGGACUUGAGGCUGGGAAAAUCCUGAAGGAAGCUCCAGUAGCCAAACCAGGUGGGAGAAAAUCCUGGGCCACAAACGUCUUUCCUGCCUGCUAGGGUGGGAGGGUCUCCCCAGAGUCUGCUUCCGCUCUGCGCGGUAAGCCCAGCUUGAAAGUUCAUUGGCUCAACAAAGAUAAAUGACAUAUCCUGAGCCAAUGGAAGGUGAAACGUACCGGCGCCCGCAUAAUACGGCCGCCUUGUUGGGCAUCCACGUGACCAAUAGCGAGCUGCCUCUGUCCCAGAUUGAGAGGAAGGACAGGCUGCACUAGUCACUGGGGUCGCUUGUUGCCAACCUUUUAACUGUCUCUGAGUGCUCCUCAAGUGCUUCUAAUACAGGCAUCACAGCCCCGCGCGUUGCGGGGUGGGUGGGUAGGGACUAUCUGGUCCAACCUCUGUCUCGGGCUCACGCCCACCGGCGGACCCACUCCACGCCCGAGGCCGCAGCUGUCAAGGGUAGACCUCAGGACCGGUUCCACCCAGGACUGGACAAGCGGAAGGAGGGACUGCAAACAUCCAGGUAAGGCAGCUGCAGUGUCCCUGAAGGGCUCCUCUGGAAGAAUCUUCCCUAACCUUCCAUCCCACUGGCCACCCCAGCCAGGUCGCAGCCAGAAGAGGGCGCUGCCAGGGCAUGGCCGGGGAGCGUCCCGGGGCCUGGUUCGGCUUCGGUUUCUGCGGCUUCGGACAGGCGCUGGGCUCCGGGCGCGGGCGCCAGGUAUACAGCCCGGAGCCGCUGGAGGUGCCGGGCGCGAGCCUUGACGUCUGCCGCGUGAGCGCAAGCUGGAGCUACACCGCCACCGUGACCCGUGAGCGCCCCGUUCCGUCCCCUGCCCCCUCCCCAGUUCCCGUCCUCCAGCCCAGGGUGCGUAGCCCGCCCCCUCCACAGCCCUUUCUCCGCCCCGCAGGUGGAGGCCGGCUAGAGCUGUCAGGCUCCGUGAGCGGCUCGGCAGGAGGCUGCAGGGACGCGUGGGCAUCGGAGGCGCUCCUUGUGGUGCUGCGCGCGGGGACAGGAUCCGAUUCCGGGGCGGAGCUGCAGGCCUGGGCGCCUGGUUCGUCUCUGCGCGGGGAGCCCCUCUGGGCGCAGACCGUGGUGCUGGAGGUGGAGCGGAAGGACGGACCCGGCGGCGAUGAGACCCAGGCUGGGCCGUUGCCGCUGCUGCCCUGCGCCAGCGCCUACGUGAGCCCGCAGCCGCCCUUCUACCGGCCUCUGGCCCCUACGCUGCGGGCGCGCCGGCUGGAGCUGGGCGCUGAGCACGCCUUGCUGCUGGACGCCGCGGGCCAGGUGUUUUCCUGGGGCGGGGGCAGGCACGGACAGCUGGGCCACGGGACUCUGGAGGCAGAGCGGGAGCCAAGGGUGCUGGAAGCGCUGCAGGGCCUACCCAUGGCUGAGGUGGCCGCAGGUGGCUGGCAUUCUGUGUGUGUGAGUGAGACUGGGGAUAUUUAUAUCUGGGGCUGGAAUGAAUCAGGGCAGCUGGCCCUGCCCGCCAGGAGCCUGGCAGAGGAUGGAAAGACAAUCACAGGAGACGCCCCAGGACUGAACGAAGAUGGUUCUGAAGCAAAGAGAGCCACAGAGGGUGAGGAUGGAGGCCCCACCCCCUUCAUAGCUGUCCAGCCCUUCCCGGCCCUGCUGGAUCUCCCCCUCGGCUCAGAUGCGGUCAAGGCCAGCUGUGGAUCCCGGCACACAGCGGUGGUGACAAGUGAGUGGGGCUGGGUAGGCUGGUUCAGGAUGGUCCAGAGGUCCCUUCACCCCAACUCUCUGACUAGUAGCUGCAGAAAAGGGUGGCGAUUGCCUAAAAAAUGACCAUUUUUUUUUCUGCCACAUUCAUAGCAUGUGGAAGUUCCUGGCCAGGGAUCACACCUUCACCACAAUUGUGACCUGUGCCUCACCUACGACAAUGCAGAUGCUUAACCCACAGCACCACAUGGGAACGUCCUAAAAACUACCAUUUUAGGUGUCUUUGGCAUGUACUGAGUAGCUACCUCACUGACUACACCCCCAUGUGGCUCUAACAGUGGCUCCCCAGCCCAUCAGUCCUCGAAGGUUCUUCUUUCUGGAGGGAGGCUCGUGUUUGCCUAUCUUUCUUCUGACAGUAGGGCCUGCCCCGCCCUGCCCUGCUUCUAAGGCUCCUGAACGUCGUAGCUGUGAGUUGCAGGCCAAUCAGCCAACUAGGAACCAUGAGGUGUAGAGCAAGGAGAAGCUUUUCAGUCUGGAUCCUCUGCCACAUCAAAUGCAACUAGAUAGCUGUCAAAAAGAGAGAGGAGGAGUUCCCGUCGUAGUGCCAAGGAACGGGCGAGCUCUACACCUGGGGCUGGGGUAAAUAUGGACAGCUUGGCCACAAGGACACGACCAGCUUGGAUCGGCCCUGCCGUGUGGAGUACUUUGUAGAUAAGCAACUCCAAGUCAGGACUGUGAGCUGUGGGCCCUGGAACACCUACGUGUUCGCUGUGGAGAAAGAGAAGAGCCGACAUAUGUAAAUAAGGGCAUGAAAUCAAUGGACAGUAAAGAAGAAGAAAGCUAACACCUGUGAAACUCCUGCCCAGGUCAAGGAAAACCAGGGCCUGCUCUCCAGAGGCCUUGUCUUUGCCCCUCCCUCCCCAUCACAGCCCUCUUGCUCCAACUUAGAGCAGUGUCCUCGACUUGGUCCUCAAAUUAGAAGCCCCUGGAGAUUUGGCAAUGGAUGCCUAAGGCCAGCAUUGCAGACACGGGUGAAAUCAGAAUUAGACACAGGCAGAUGUGAAAGCUGCCCCACCUGACCCCACCCUGGGGGGAUUUCUAGGUAGUGCCAAGAUGGGGAACUGAGACCAGCUCAGCAGAAUGGGGCUGAAGAAUGGGUGCUGUGAAACCUAAGGAAAAAAGUUAACAUAAAACAAGACACAGAGACAUUUUCUUAAGCAAAGGUGGGAACCGGCAGACUCAAGGUCUCAGGGGCCAAGAGCAGCACUGCCUCAAGAAACCACACUGCUUUUAUUGUGCUCUUUUAUUGUGCUCCUCAAGUGUGGAGGGGGCUAUGGGUGGAGGAUAUAGGGUUUGUUUAUUAUUAUUUUUUGAUAUAGGGUUUGUUUAUUAUUGUGUAAGUUCUUUUAUUAUUUUAAAAGUCACUUAGCUGGUAAAAGGUUAAGCUUUUAAUCUGACCUUUAGGCACAUAACAAUCAUCAGCAUUUGAGUUAGCUAUCUAUGCAUAGCAUUCCAGAGAAGCCUCACUGUGCUUAGGUUUGCACCUUGGUUCUCUGCUAAUGCAUAUUCUGCUAACGAGACCGCUUGUGAACCACUUGGCCAUGAGGUUCCUCUUUCUCUUAUUCCUUAGAGGACAUGUCAUGCUUGUGCAAACGGUGUGCCAAUCUGCACAGGUCCAGCAUGCCUAGACCAACACAUUACGUCCUCAUUCAGCUGACCCUAUGAAUAGCUUAUGCCUUUAGGUCUUUGUUCUUAAGCUUUAAGUCAUUUAUCAGCACUGUGACUGUUUUUCAAGCUGGAAGAUGGGAUAAAGUAAAGCAGGAUGAUGGGAUUUUUCAGUAAAGAAGCUAAGAAAAUAUUGUAGAAACAUGUUUCGGAUAGGGAACUGCUAGAAGUCAUCUUAUUUUGUUACUCACUCACCUGGUUUCAUUUUGAAUGGUACCAUUCCUGGUAUGCAUCUUUAUGCAAUCUAAUUUGUCUGCUUUUGAACUUGAGAUAAAGGCUCUCAUUCCGUGUA
This is a non-coding RNA of Sus scrofa (pig), 3875 nucleotides long. The record is from RefSeq and is a predicted model, not a curated record. NCBI's taxonomy places the organism in Eukaryota, Metazoa, Chordata, Mammalia, Artiodactyla, Suidae.